AGUUCUCCCAUAUAAAAGCAAAAUUUUAGUGGUAACUUUUUGGAAUGAAAUAUUUCGGCUGCAUUUUAACAUUUUUCUUACUCUUGGCAAUCGACACAAAACCAACUGGGGCUGUCUGUGGCUAUGAGUCUUGUCCUGAAACAAAACCAAACUUGGUCAACAUUCACUUGGUCCCUCACUCCCACGACGAUGUUGGCUGGCUGAAGACGGUGGAUCAGUAUUACUUGCCA
Long non-coding RNA from Drosophila guanche, 230 nucleotides. RefSeq lists it as uncharacterized. The transcript has 2 exons. The record is from RefSeq and is a predicted model, not a curated record. Lineage: Eukaryota; Metazoa; Arthropoda; Insecta; Diptera; Drosophilidae.